CACGAUGCAAGUCGAACGGAGCAUUUGAGUUACUAGGAUAGCUAGUGGCGACGGGUGAGUAACACGUGAGCAACCUGACCUUUGAGAGAGGGAUAGCUUCUGGAAACGGAUGGUAAUACCUCAUAACAUAUCGGGACCGCAUGAUUCUGAUAUCAAAGAUUUAUCACUCAAAGAUGGGCUCGCGUCUGAUUAGAUAGUUGGUGAGGUAACGGCUCACCAAGUCGACGAUCAGUAGCCGGACUGAGAGGUUGAACGGCCACAUUGGGACUGAGACAGGCCCAGACUCCUACGGGAGGCAGCAGUGGGGAAUAUUGCACAAUGGGGGAAACCCUGAUGCAGCGAUGCCGCGUGGAGGAAGAAGGUUUUCGGAUUGUAAACUCCUGUCUUAAAGGACGAUAAUGACGGUACUUUAGGAGGAAGCUCCGGCUAACUACGUGCCAGCAGCUGC
Molecule: ribosomal RNA, 448 nt
Filed under: uncultured bacterium
Lineage: Bacteria
Description: bacterial SSU rRNA
Rfam family: Bacterial small subunit ribosomal RNA
Source: RNAcentral